UGGCGAACGGGUGAGUAACGCGUGAGGAACCUGCCUCAAAGAGGGGGACAACAGUUGGAAACGACUGCUAAUACCGCAUAAGCCCACGGGUCGGCAUCGACCUGAGGGAAAAGGAGUGAUCCGCUUUGAGAUGGCCUCGCGUCCGAUUAGCUAGUUGGUGAGGUAACGGCCCACCAAGGCGACGAUCGGUAGCCGGACUGAGAGGUUGAACGGCCACAUUGGGACUGAGACACGGCCCAG
This 240-nucleotide ribosomal RNA is filed under the name uncultured bacterium. RNAcentral describes it as "partial 16S ribosomal RNA". It matches the Rfam family "Bacterial small subunit ribosomal RNA", at positions 96 to 334 of the family's 1533-position model. The record is from RNAcentral.